GUGUGUAUUAACACGCCGGCCUCCUCGCUACCUGUGUGUGUAUUAACACCCCGGCCUCCUCACUACCUGUGUGUGUAUUAACACGCCGGCCUCCUCACUCACCUGUGUGUGUAUUAACACGCCGGCCUCCUCGCUACCUGUAUCAACUAUGGCCUGAGUAUGAUAGACUUAUCCAUGGUUUAAACAGAAUAUAUUGUUUUCAACUUUGAAAAUAAGAAUAUGGAAAUCCAGAUGCAGAAAUGUGAGAAGAAAAGAGAGUAAACAGAGUGGAAGGUCAGGUGACCUUGCCUGUCAUGAAUAUGAAGGUCAAGGUGUGUGAAUUGUGAAAUUUCCAAGAGAACCUCACUGAAGCAAAGAAUGAAGAAAGAAUUGCAUUUGGCCCUGGGAGGGUGCAGGGGUGAAUGGUGCAGGAGCUAAAUCUUUAUCAUACCCAGAAAUCAACAGCCACUAUUUGAAAUCAUCUAAAUUCGUGCUGCUAACCUUCAGUGUACACACGAAUCACCUGGGGAUCUUACUAAAAGCUAGUUUCUGAUUCACUAAA
Homo sapiens (human) is the source of this 541-nucleotide long non-coding RNA. The record is from Ensembl. NCBI's taxonomy places the organism in Eukaryota, Metazoa, Chordata, Mammalia, Primates, Hominidae.